RNAcentral lists this ribosomal RNA (253 nucleotides) under uncultured bacterium. RNAcentral describes it as "partial 16S ribosomal RNA". It matches the Rfam family "Bacterial small subunit ribosomal RNA", at positions 524 to 776 of the family's 1533-position model. The record is from RNAcentral.
UACGUAGGGGGCGAGCGUUGUCCGGAGUUACUGGGCGUAAAGGGCAUGCAGGCGGUCGGACGCGUUUUGUGUGACAGCGGAUGGCUUACCUAUCCGAGCAUACGAAAGACGGUUGGACUUGAGGACUCGAGAGGGACACGGAAUUCCGGGUGGAGUGGUGAAAUGCGUAGAGAUCCGGAGGAACACCGAAGGCGAAGGCAGUGUCCUGGGCCUGCACUGACGCUCAUGCACGAAAGCGUGGGGAGCAAACAGG